Non-coding RNA from Camellia sinensis, 735 nucleotides. The record is from RefSeq and is a predicted model, not a curated record. NCBI's taxonomy places the organism in Eukaryota, Viridiplantae, Streptophyta, Magnoliopsida, Ericales, Theaceae.
UGGUGGUUGCUGCAUGGAUGAUGAGGCGGCCUCACAUUAUAUUGACAAGAUAGAUCAGACUACACUUGGGCACUGGUUUAUCAAAGAGAAGUUCACUGUGACUCCAAGAGUUGGUUGGCAGAUUGAUCCCUUUGGUCAUUCUGCAGUGCAGGCUUACCUUUUGGGGGCAGAGGUUGGAUUUGACUCUUUUUUCUUCGGCCAAAUUGACUACCAAGACAGAAAUAAGUGAAAAAAUGAGAAGAGCCUUGAGGUUGUCUGGCAGGGCUCUAAGAAUUUUGGUUCAUCUGCACAGAUCAAGAUAGAGACAGAGGCGAAAGUCCAACAAUUCUGAAAUUGGUGAAGCAAAUUUGAUUUUGGCGGGACAAAGAGGCGGGAGCCAAAUAAUGAAGGGUUUUUCAUUCUUUAUCUUUCAUGCCAUCCUUAUCUACCAUCUACACCACAAAUUUGUUGUGUUUUCAUCUUCUACGAUCAGAGUUCAUUAGGUGGGAGAUAUAGUUGUUCUAAAAAUUAUCAUUAGACCAACAGAAAUAGUUGCAAUCGGAGCACUUAAAAGCAUAGACUAUCUAAAAAAGUAGAAGGGGAAGAACUAGGACCUGACUAUUGGGAGGUACAUGUUCAAGUGCCAGUCAAACCUAAUGAGAGCUUGAUCCGAUCAUAUGAACUUGUCAGAACAAUUAGACAAGCUAUUGGAGCUCAUGUUGCUUAGCCAACUCCAUUUGUGAUUUCGCAAGUUAU